This 61-nucleotide transfer RNA is filed under the name Bacillus licheniformis. RNAcentral describes it as "tRNA-Asp". It matches the Rfam family "tRNA", at positions 7 to 64 of the family's 71-position model. Rfam says of the family: Transfer RNA (tRNA) molecules are approximately 80 nucleotides in length. Their secondary structure includes four short double-helical elements and three loops (D, anti-codon, and T loops). The record is from RNAcentral. Lineage: Bacteria; Bacillati; Bacillota; Bacilli; Caryophanales; Bacillaceae.
GUAGUUCAGUUGGUUAGAAUGCCUGCCUGUCACGCAGGAGGUCGCGGGUUCGAGUCCCGUC